GAUGAACGCUGGCGGCGUGCCUAAUACAUGCAAGUCGAGCGAACAGACGAGGAGCUUGCUCCUCUGACGUUAGCGGCGGACGGGUGAGUAACACGUGGAUAACCUACCUAUAAGACUGGGAUAACUUUGGGAAACCGGAGCUAAUACCGGAUAAUAUAUUGAACCGCAUGGUUCAAUAGUGAAAGACGGUUUUGCUGUCACUUAUAGAUGGAUCCGCGCCGCAUUAGCUAGUUGGUAAGGUAACGGCUUACCAAGGCGACGAUGCGUAGCCGACCUGAGAGGGGGAUCGGCCACACUGGAACUGAGACACGGUCCAGACUCCUACGGGAGGCAGCAGUAGGGAAUCUUCCGCAAUGGGCGAAAGCCUGACGGAGCAACGCCGCGUGAGUGAUGAAGGUCUUCGGAUCGUAAAACUCUGUUAUUAGGGAAGAACAAAUGUGUAAGUAACUAUGCACGUCUUGACGGUACCUAAUCAGAAAGCCACGGCUAACUACGU
This 496-nucleotide ribosomal RNA is filed under the name uncultured bacterium. RNAcentral's name for it is "partial 16S ribosomal RNA". It matches the Rfam family "Bacterial small subunit ribosomal RNA", at positions 28 to 506 of the family's 1533-position model. The record is from RNAcentral.